GCAGCGGCGGGAACCACUAGGUUUGCUGCGAUACCAUGGAAGGAGGCGGGGGAAGCGGCAACAAAACCACAGGGGGAUUGGCCGGCUUUUUCGGAGCCGGCGGAGCAGGUUACUCGCACGCGGAUUUGGCUGGCGUCCCGCUAACUGGUAUGAACCCUCUGUCUCCUUAUUUAAAUGUGGAUCCACGAUACCUCGUGCAGGAUACAGAUGAGUUUAUUUUACCUACCGGAGCUAAUAAAACCCGGGGCAGAUUUGAGCUGGCCUUCUUUACGAUUGGAGGAUGUUGCAUGACAGGGGCUGCGUUUGGGGCAAUGAAUGGUCUUCGGCUAGGAUUGAAGGAAACCCAGAACAUGGCCUGGUCCAAACCAAGAAAUGUACAGAUUUUGAAUAUGGUGACUAGGCAAGGGGCACUUUGGGCUAAUACUCUAGGUUCUCUGGCUUUGCUCUAUAGCGCAUUUGGUGUCAUCAUUGAGAAAACACGAGGUGCAGAAGAUGACCUUAACACAGUAGCAGCUGGAACCAUGACAGGCAUGUUGUAUAAAUGUACAGGUGAGUACUGUUGAAUGGAGAGCCAUCUCUUAAUACACUUGAAGUGCACUUUUUAAAAUUCAUGGUUUUCAAGGAAAUUACACUUUGUUGCAGUGUAAUCUGGUGUUCUAACUUUAUGGUUAUUUUGGUUUGGUUUGGUUUUUAAUUGUGGUAAAAUAAACAUAAGAUUUACCCAUCUUAACCAUUUUUAAGUGUACAGUACAUUAGUAGUAUAGUCACAUGAUUAUAUAACCAAUCUCUGGAACUUUUUCAUCUUGCAAAACUGAUACUCUGUACCUAUUAAGCCUCCUCCCAAUUUACCACUCUCCUUAGCUCCUGAUAAUGUUACACUUUCUGUCUCUGAAUUGGCUGUUUUAGGCAUCUCAUAUAGGUAGAAUCAUACAAUAUUUGUCCUUUUUUGAUUGGCUUAUUUUACAUAGCGUAAUAUCCUCAAGGUUCAUCCAUGUUGUUGCAUGUGCCAGAAUUCCCUUCCUUUUUAAAGCUAAAUAAUAUUCAUUCUGUGUAUGUAUACCACAUUUUGCAUGUGCAUUCUUUUAUCAAGGGAUAUUUGGGUUGCUUCUACCUUUUGGCUAUUGUGAAUAAUGCUGCUACGAAUAUGGAUGUACAAAUAUCUCUCCAAGAUCCUUCUUUCUUUUUUCGGGUAUAUGCGCAGAAGUGGGAUUCUUGGAUCAUAUGGUUUAUGGUGGUUUUUUGACAUUAAGAAUAUAAGAUUCUUUUCUGUAUUUUUCAUUCAUUUUAGUUUAGUUUUUUUAAUCUUGGACAGACUAAGCAAUAGAAUAUUCAGAAUUGUUGGUUUUGUUUUAAACAAUAGUUUGACCUGUGACAUCAGCAUAUGAAACUAUCACAAGACACACACAAGGUCAAAGCCCAGGAAUGACUUCCCUGUAAGUCAAUUUAGAGCAUCUUAUUCCUAUGAUCAACUUACUCUACUGGGAGAUCAACACGUUGCUGUCAAGGGUCAGAUAAUUCUCUUCUGUGAUAAGUUUACUAGUUUAGAAGCAUACAUUCAAGUAAUGCCUAAUUUAGCUUUUUUAUUGUGUUGAUACAUCUUUGGCUACUUAAUUUUUAUUUUUAUCAAAAUAAUCCACAUACAUGAUUUUUUAAGUCAAGGUUUUUAUGUUAACAUCUAAAAGAUUUUAGUGAUGUUUAGUCCACAUACAUGAUUUUUUAAGUCAAGGUUUUUAUCUUUUUAACAUCUAAAAUAUUUUAAUGAUGUGCAACAGUGUUCUAUACGUCUCACCUUAAUUCCCUUUUCCCAAAGGCAACUUUUAAUUUUUUUUUUUAUUAUUUUUUUUCUUUUUUGAGACGGAGUCUUGCUCCUGGGCGUUAGAACGAGCCUCCGGCUCAAAAUGAAGUGACAUGACAUGACAUGACAUGAUGAAAUGAAAUAAUGAAUAAUGAAAUGCGGGUGGUGCACUCCAGCCUGGGCGAUGCAGCAAGUCUGUGUCAUGAAAUGGAAUGGCAUGGAAUUGAAUGGGAAUGGGAAUAUCGGAAUAUGGGAAUGGAAUAAAUGAAAUGAAGAAAUAUGAAAUGCCAGGUGUGGUGGCGCACUCCAGCCUGGGUGAUAGAGCGAGUCUCUAUCUUGAAGUGAAGUGAAAUGAAAUGAAAUGAAAUGAAAUAAAUGAAUACUGAAAUGAAAUAAUAAAAUGAAAUGCCAGGUGUGGUGGCACACUCCAGCCUGGGCAAUAGAGCGAGUCUCUGUCUUGAAA
Pongo pygmaeus (Bornean orangutan) is the source of this 2258-nucleotide RNA transcript. It is a transcript of the gene named mitochondrial import inner membrane translocase subunit Tim23, with no coding region annotated. Lineage: Eukaryota; Metazoa; Chordata; Mammalia; Primates; Hominidae. The record is from RefSeq and is a predicted model, not a curated record. The transcript has 7 exons.